This 27-nucleotide small RNA is filed under the name Bombyx mori (domestic silkworm). RNAcentral describes it as "piRNA piR-bmo-1772243". The record is from RNAcentral. Lineage: Eukaryota; Metazoa; Arthropoda; Insecta; Lepidoptera; Bombycidae.
UAUCCAGUGAGUCCGAGAAAUGAUUGU